CGGUGCCGGCCGACCCGGAAGCAUGUCUGUCCCUAGCGGAGGCGCGGGUGCCGUGCUGAGAGCGCCUGCCUGUGCGCCCCGAGCGGGGCUGGGACUCUUCCAAGAUGCCCACGUUCGCACAGAGACCCCGGAUCGCGGAAGCUCGCGUCUCGAAAGGCCUGUGGGUCAAGGGGGGCCAUCUCGGUGGGAUCUGGGGCGGGACGACCCCCACUGCUGAACCCUGGGCGCGGGGCAGGGUCAGAGGCUCCGCUCGGCCUCCCCCUGGAUGAGACGCGCAUGCCCGGUGUCCCCCGGCCGCCGUCGGCGUCGUGUCUUCAGUCCUUAUCGACUCCAGACUUUGGGGAUGCGUAUUAACGCCAGACUCCUGCAAAGUCUUGCCUUCAACACUCAGCCCCUGGGGAGAGACGGGUGGAGGGAUGACUGGAAACGUGGCCUCGACGUCCCUACAGAGCCCCUCCAGCGUGGGGAGGCCUAAGUACCUCAAGGUUCAGGCCCACGGAAGGAGUCGGGGGAGCGAGGCCCGGUGAUCUACGUGUGAAGGAGCUUGGACAGGACCUCACAAACGCCAGGGAGACGGCGAGGGGGUUCGUGCGUUUGUAACGUCUUGACAUCGCUGAUCCUCCCGCAGGCGGUCUCACGCCCUGCCCGUCCUGGGUUCACGGUUUUUCAUCACCUGCGGCUGUCCUGCGAUCGACCACAGCUGUGCAGGAGGGGCAGGAGGUAUCUGUUGCUGCAGUUACCGGAACCUUUGCCAGGACUAGUACAGGACCACGGGCUGGUAGCUCAGGGAUGUCUCGUCUGUGAGUUACAGCUGCACGCUCUCCAGGAAAGAAGGAAUUUCCUCUUCUCUGGAAACCCCACCACACAGCUGGUUUCUCAUUGGUGCUGCUUGCCCAUUCCCUGAGCUGUGACUGCCAGAGGAGUGGGAGGUUGGUGGUGCCUCCAGCCCAUCAGGGGCAGGCCCUGGGACCGCCUGGGAACAGGAGGACUAUGGCACAAACCGAGUGAGUGAUGGGAGCAACCCGCAGGGCUCUGCCACAUCCCUGUCUUCCUUCACUGACAUGAAACGCAGAAAAGGCAGCUUUGCCACAACACAGGAGCACGCACCGAAUGUGGCCGCCCAGGGCUCUGUCCUUGACCCUGUUGUCC
This 1149-nucleotide long non-coding RNA is filed under the name Homo sapiens (human). Its description in RNAcentral is "non-protein coding lnc-TMEM88B-3:4". Lineage: Eukaryota; Metazoa; Chordata; Mammalia; Primates; Hominidae. The record is from RNAcentral.